RNAcentral lists this ribosomal RNA (520 nucleotides) under uncultured Archaeospora. Its description in RNAcentral is "SSU rRNA". It matches the Rfam family "Eukaryotic small subunit ribosomal RNA", at positions 569 to 1095 of the family's 1831-position model. The record is from RNAcentral. Lineage: Eukaryota; Fungi; Glomeromycota; Glomeromycetes; Archaeosporales; Archaeosporaceae.
AGCAGCCGCGGUAAUUCCAGCUCCAAUAGCGUAUAUUAAAGUUGUUGCAGUUAAAAGCUCGUAGUUGAAUUUUAGGCCUGGCCGGGCGGUCCGUCUUUGGCGAGUACUGUCCUGUGUCGGGUCUUCCUUCUGGUGAACCAGUAUGUCCUUUAUUGGGUGUGCCGGGGAGCCAGGACCAUUACCUUGAAAAAUUAGAGUGUUUAAAGCGGGCUUUUGCUUGAAUAGAUUAGCAUGGAAUAAUAGAAUAGGACGUUGUGGUUCUAUUUUGUUGGUUUCUAGGACCACCGUAAUGAUUAAUAGGGACAGUUGGGGGCAUUAGUAUUCAAUUGUCAGAGGUGAAAUUCUUGGAUUUAUUGAAGACUAACUAUUGCGAAAGCAUUUGCCAAGGAUGUUUUCAUUAAUCAAGAACGAAAGUUAGGGGAUCGAAGACGAUCAGAUACCGUCGUAGUCUUAACCAUAAACUAUGCCGACUAGGAAUCGGGCGACGUUAUUUUCAUGACUCGCUCGGCGCCUUAUGGGA